CCCUAGCCCCGAUAGUAGUGAAAAUCCUUCUUGUUUUUUCUUUAAAAACAAGAAGAUUGCAACGUAUAGCGGGAAAUAGC
This 80-nucleotide small RNA is filed under the name Flavobacterium weaverense. Its description in RNAcentral is "Flavo-1 RNA". It matches the Rfam family "Flavo-1 RNA". The record is from RNAcentral. Lineage: Bacteria; Pseudomonadati; Bacteroidota; Flavobacteriia; Flavobacteriales; Flavobacteriaceae.